This 21-nucleotide non-coding RNA is filed under the name Arabidopsis thaliana (thale cress). Lineage: Eukaryota; Viridiplantae; Streptophyta; Magnoliopsida; Brassicales; Brassicaceae. The record is from RNAcentral.
UAUAUCACAUUUUCGGUGGCA